AGAAGUAAAAGUUUAGGGGGAAAAUAAAAAGUUUUGGGGAAUAAAAGUUUGAGGGAAUGUAAAUAGGGGGAGUAAAAUUUUGGAGGGAAAAUAUUAAAAAAAAUUAGAGGGGGGAGGGUUUGGGGUAGAUGGGAGGUGAGAUGGGAAGGGAAUAAAAGUUUUAGGGGAAAAGUGGGAGGGAGUAAAAAUUUUGGGGGAAAAUAAAAGGUUUUGAGGGUUUUUGGGAGUAAAAUUUUAAGAAAAAUUAAAUGGGAGAGUAAAAUUUUGGUGGGAAAUGGAUUUUGGGUAGAUUGGGGGAUUGGGAGGGGAGAGAAGUAAAAGUUUUGGGGGGAAAGUGGGAAUGAGUAAAAGUUUUGAGGGAAAAGAAAAAAGGUU
This 375-nucleotide long non-coding RNA is filed under the name Gossypium raimondii (Peruvian cotton). Its description in RNAcentral is "long non-coding RNA (GRAI_LNC005750)". Lineage: Eukaryota; Viridiplantae; Streptophyta; Magnoliopsida; Malvales; Malvaceae. The record is from RNAcentral.